UACAGAGGUCUCAAGCGUUGUUCGGAUUCAUUGGGCGUAAAGGGUGUGUAGGUGGCGCCGUAAGUCGGGUGUGAAAGCCCUGGGCUCAACCCAGGAAGUGCACUCGAUACUGCUCGGCUUGAGUAUGGAAGAGGGUUGCGGAAUUCCCGGUGUAGAGGUGAAAUUCGUAGAUAUCGGGAGGAACACCAGUGGCGAAGGCGGCAACCUGGGCCAAUACUGACGCUGAGGUGCGAAAGCGUGGGGAGCAAACAGG
RNAcentral lists this ribosomal RNA (253 nucleotides) under uncultured bacterium. Its description in RNAcentral is "partial 16S ribosomal RNA". It matches the Rfam family "Bacterial small subunit ribosomal RNA", at positions 524 to 776 of the family's 1533-position model. The record is from RNAcentral.